Molecule: ribosomal RNA, 496 nt
Filed under: uncultured Glomeromycotina
Lineage: Eukaryota; Fungi; Glomeromycota
Description: partial small subunit ribosomal RNA
Rfam family: Eukaryotic small subunit ribosomal RNA
Source: RNAcentral
CCAAUAGCGUAUAUUAAAGUUGUUGCGGUUAAAAAGCUCGUAGUUGAAUUUCGGGGUUCUACCGUUGGUCGGGCAAUAGUCUGUACUGGCGUGUGGAAUUUCUACCUUCUGGGGAACCAUCAUGUUAUUAAUUUAGCGUGGUGGGAAACCAGGACCUUUACCUUGAAAAAAUUAGAGUGUUCAAAGCAGGCUUACGUCUGAAUACAUUAGCAUGGAAUAAUAAAAUAGGACGGUGGUCCUGUUUUGUUGGUUUCUGAAUCACCGUAAUGAUUAAUAGGGAUAGUUGGGGGCAUUAGUAUUCAAUUGUCAGAGGUGAAAUUCUUGGAUUUAUUGAAGACUAACUUCUGCGAAAGCAUUUGCCAAGGAUGUUUUCAUUAAUCAAGAACGAAAGUUAGGGGAUCGAAGACGAUCAGAUACCGUCGUAGUCUUAACCAUAAACUAUGCCGACUAGGGAUCGGACGAUGUUAAUUUUUCUUGACUCGUUCGGCGCCUUACG